UACAGAGGGUGCGAGCGUUGUUCGGAAUUAUUGGGCGUAAAGGGCGCGUAGGCGGUGCGGCAAGUCACCUGUGAAAUCUCCUGGCUCAACUGGGAGCUUGCAGGCGAAACUGCCGUGCUGGAGUGUGGGAGAGGUGCGUGGAAUUCCUGGUGUAGCGGUGAAAUGCGUAGAUAUGCGGAGGAACACCGAUGGCGAAGGCAAUCCCCUGGGCCUGCACUGACGCUCAUGCACGAAAGCGUGGGGAGCAAACAGG
This 253-nucleotide ribosomal RNA is filed under the name uncultured bacterium. RNAcentral's name for it is "partial 16S ribosomal RNA". It matches the Rfam family "Bacterial small subunit ribosomal RNA", at positions 524 to 776 of the family's 1533-position model. The record is from RNAcentral.